This 255-nucleotide ribosomal RNA is filed under the name uncultured bacterium. Its description in RNAcentral is "partial 16S ribosomal RNA". It matches the Rfam family "Bacterial small subunit ribosomal RNA", at positions 524 to 776 of the family's 1533-position model. The record is from RNAcentral.
UACGUAGGGUGCGAGCGUUGUCCGGAUUUAUUGGGCGUAAAGAGCUCGUAGGCGGUUUGUCGCGUCGGCCGUGAAAUCUCCACGCUUAACGUGGAGCGUGCGGUCGAUACGGGCAGACUUGAGUUCGGUAGGGGAGACUGGAAUUCCUGGUGGUAGCGGUGAAAUGCGCAGAUAUCAAGGAGGAACACCGGUGGCGAAGGCGGGUCUCUGGGCCGAUACUGACGCUGAGGAGCGAAAGCGUGGGGAGCGAACAGG